UCCGGUUUGUCACCGGCAGUCUCGCGUGAGUCCCCAACUUAAUGCUGGCAACACGCGACAAGGGUUGCGCUCGUUGCGGGACUUAACCCAACAUCUCACGACACGAGCUGACGACAGCCAUGCAGCACCUGUGUCCACGCCCCUUGCGGGGAGGAACCCGUCUCCGGGAACCGUCGUGGCAUGUCAAGGGCUGGUAAGGUUCUGCGCGUUGCUUCGAAUUAAUCCACAUAAUCCACCGCUUGUGCGGGUCCCCGUCAAUUCCUUUGAGUUUUAGUCUUGCGACCGUACUCCCCAGGCGGAGUGCUUAAUGCGUUAGCUGCGGCACAGAGCGGGUUGAAGACCGCCCCACACCUAGCACUCAACGUUUACGGCUGGGACUAC
RNAcentral lists this unclassified non-coding RNA (381 nucleotides) under uncultured bacterium. RNAcentral's name for it is "contains 16S-23S intergenic spacer region". The record is from RNAcentral.